GAAACUUAGGUUCAAUUUAAACCAAAG
Molecule: transfer RNA, 27 nt
Filed under: Eurocephalus anguitimens
Lineage: Eukaryota; Metazoa; Chordata; Aves; Passeriformes; Laniidae
Description: partial tRNA-Trp
Source: RNAcentral